Molecule: transfer RNA, 73 nt
Filed under: Camelus bactrianus (Bactrian camel)
Lineage: Eukaryota; Metazoa; Chordata; Mammalia; Artiodactyla; Camelidae
Also listed under: 1 other name
Rfam family: tRNA
About the family: Transfer RNA (tRNA) molecules are approximately 80 nucleotides in length. Their secondary structure includes four short double-helical elements and three loops (D, anti-codon, and T loops).
Source: Rfam by way of RNAcentral
GAGGGUAUAGCUCAAGUGGCAGAGCACAUGCUUAGCAUGCACAAGGAUCUGGGUUCAAUCCCCAGUACCUCCU